RNAcentral lists this ribosomal RNA (425 nucleotides) under uncultured bacterium. Its description in RNAcentral is "partial 16S ribosomal RNA". It matches the Rfam family "Bacterial small subunit ribosomal RNA", at positions 354 to 796 of the family's 1533-position model. The record is from RNAcentral.
GUUAGGAAUAUUGGACAAUGGGCGCAAGCCUGAUCCAGCCAUGCCGCGUGAGUGAUGAAGGCCUUCGGGUUGUAAAGCUCUUUAGUCCACGAAUAUAAUGACUGUAGUGGAAGAAUAAGCCCCGGCUAACUUCGUGUCAGCAGCCGCGGUAAUACGAAGGGGGCGAGCGUUAUUCGGAAUCACUGGGCGUAAAGCGUGCGUAGGCUGUUUUGUAAGUCAGAAGUGAAAGCCCAGGGCUUAACCCUGGAAUUGCUUUUGAAACUACAAGACUCGAAUUCGGGAGAGGAUAGCGGAAUUGUCAGUGUAGCAGUGAAAUGCGUAGAUAUUGGAAGGAACACCAGUGGCGUAAGCGGCUAUCUGGACGAGUAUUGACGCUGAGGCACGAAAGCGUGGGGAUCAAACAGGAUUAGAUACCCUUGUAGUCC